AGACCUAUGAAUUAGAAGAAUGCCCUUUUUAUAGGAUGCCUAUACUUAGAGGCUUAUAGUUGAGUAUUUUCUAAUGUGGUGCAAAUUUUGUGUUGUUCUUAUGGCCCAUGGUCAUAUGUCAAGUAUUCCAAUACAUUUCCACAUAUCAGUUUUUUUAUUCUUCACGUAACACAUGUUCAUGUCCAAUCAAGGAUGGAUUCAAGUGGUGCUGGGACAUGUACAGAAAUGGAGUUCAUUAUAUAUGGAGACAGGUUUUGAAUUGGGGUUUGAUUCUGAUGUAAAUUGCACUACGACUACAUCACAAAGACAAACCCAGCUGAAGAAUCAAUACCUUAGUUCUAAGAAGAUAACAAAACUAGAUGUAUCUUUUCUUGUAUGAGUUACUUUGCCACGAAUCAAGUCUUGGGACGACUUACCAGAUAUUUUUAGAAAACUAAAUAGCUUAUCAAUCCUCAUGGCGCGGCGUGCCGCCGCGCACUACCUGCUAGUUAAUCUUAGAGCAGCUUUAUUUCAGUGUAAUUUUUCUUUCGAAGGUCAUGUUGUCAAUGUUGAAGCACAUAGAUUAGCCAAAUAUUCACUUAAUCUUGGUCCGGGGCGUCACCUUUUUGGUUAGACCACCUCAUGAUCCGAAUUGUAUCCCACUUUCUGUGGUUCUUGAUGAAUAAAAUUGGCGUUACCUCUCAAAAAAAAAACUGCUGCCGCACGGGCGCAUAUAUUCAUCCAUGCAUCAUCAAUGUUUGAGGAACCAACCAAAUUCUGAAGCACGUAAGAAGGGACAGUUCCAACUUCCAAAGGCAGAGCUGAAGAAGCACUCGUUUUCCCUUGACUAGAAGAACGCCCGUGCGUUGCAACGGGGCCAUAUUAACUUUAAAAGUUUAAUAUCAAUUAUGUUAAUAUUACAUUUAAUAUUCUCAUACAUAUUAAGUGACAUUGACGACCUUUUUUACCAUCAAAUUCUCACACACACACCCUUUCCCUCCCUCUUCCUCACUCUCUCUUCCCCUCUCCCUCACUCGAGAGGUGAGACGAAAAUAAACCCGGAACGGAGACUACCAACUGAGACAUUAGGAGUAAAGAUCAUUUAGUUGAUAAGAAUAAAUAGAAAACGGUGUUAAAAAGGAGAAACAGAUUAGAAUACAUUGAAAAACCAAAAGGACGAUGUAAAAGGGGAUUCGUCCUGCCCCCCGGGCCUUGCCACCGAACCGGCUCAGCGGUCCAGUCCCCGCGCGGUCGUCUUCUCCUGUUUUCCGAGCCGCGUCGCUACAGAGCCGGGCUCCCGCCCGACCACCUCGCUGGCAUCGAAGGGGAAUGGAUAAGGGUGACGCCCUUCCUUCCCUGCCCCCAUGGCCUCACUCCUCCUCGACGCCCCCUCCCAAAUCCACUUCUCCUCCUCGCUCGCUCGAUCCCGUCGAUCUGGACAAAGUCAGACGCCACGGCCACCAUGACCGACCCCGUCCACAUGGCCACUGCCCUCCCUGCGGGCUAGGAGCUUGUCGAGGAGCUCCGAACGCCUUCGCUACUUCGUCUGCACCAACGAGAUCAAGUCCAGCACCCCGCAUUGACGUCGCUGCCGUCUUCCCCAACCUUGGGCCACCGCGACAUUGCCGUUCGAUCCGCGCCGCCCCGAGCUCCCAUGUCUUCCCCUAGGGCGCCAUUGACACCGCCAUGAUCUCCUCUUGCCUUUCCCCUGUUUCCCCUCUCGUUUGCUCUCGUUAGGUAUUUCGCCGUGGCUGAGAACCGCCGUCCGCCAUGGCCAUUGCAGGGGUAGCCACCGAGCUCCUCGGAUUGACCCCGUGGCACAUGCCCGCUCCUAUGCACGCCCAUGCCCGAGCCUGCCGCUCUUCUUCCGCGCCCGCGGGGCCACUCCCUCUCCAUGCCCACGCACGUGCUACACCGCGUCGGUCGCGCCCGCCGCUGCCGUCGCGCUCGCCGCAGCCACCGCACCACUGUGCCCCGCGCGACACACAUCCUGGCCGCGCGCCACACUCUCGCUGGCUGCGCUCGCCCCGUCUGCUGCCGCCUAUCCCUUCGCUCGCCCCGCUGUCGCGCCCCUGCCUCGCGCCGCCUCCAGUCGUGGCCAUCUUCUGCCUGCCGCCCCCUCAGCCACGCCGGCCGCAUCUCUGCCCUCCACCGUUGGCCGCUCGCCUCGCCUGCUGCGUGUUGCUUCCUACUGCUAUCCGCUGCUCUACCGCUGGUACGCUGCUGCGCCAUGCCCUCGACACCGCUGUGGACAAAUGUGGCGGAGGGAUUGUUAAUGGAGUACGAGAAGGAGGUGGCGGAGAAGGUGUGGAGAGGCAGGAGGUCUGGGGCGGUGUCACCUGGCUGUGGUGGAGGUGUUUAUGCGAGAAGGAGCCGGAGUGGAAGGAGAGGUCACAAUUGGAAAGAAUCGCAAAAAAAAUCAUAACCCCGAGAUCUCAGUUCAAAAAAAUGCUAAUAUUGAUGGAGGGGUGAUUUCCUUCAAUAGGUGGAAAACAUAGGAAAUAUUGGUUGUUAUCAAGGAAAGGUAAAAAUUUAGGAAAGUUAGGAUUUUUGAACUGAUUUCUAUGCAAAUGGGGUUUUAUUGUUUGGUAACAUGAUAUCAGUACCUGCCCGUUUGUGACGUGUCUGAUUAGGAAAGUUUGCAAAUGUUAAGAAACUAUUUAUUGGGAGAAAAGUUGUGACGUGUCUGUUAUUUGUUUCCUAAAACAAAUUUCACUAAUAAGAGAAAUCGAUUGAUUUAGAUAAGUUAGGAAAGUUAGAUUAAAAUGUAUUAUUUGUUUUCUGAAAAUCUGUUAUUUGUUUCCUAAGACAAAUUGAACCAAUAAAAGGAAUCAAUUGAUUUGCAUAAUUUAAGGAAGUUAGAUUAAAAUGUAUUAUUUGUUUCCUGAAAAUCUGUUAUUUGUUUCCUAAGACAAAUUGAACCAAUAAAAAGAAUCGAUUGAUUUGCAUAAUUUAAGGAAGUUAGAUCCGUGAUUUGUUAUACGUUAGGAAAGUUCUGGUUGUAAUAAAGAGUGGAGAGAAAAAUAAACCGAUGAACCAGGAUGGGAGGGGGUGGUGGGAGGAGAGACGGUAAAAACCCAGUGAAAAUAAACGCGGACCAGGGUGGGAGGGGGUGGUGGGAGGAGAGACGGAAAAAAAAACAGCGAAAAUAAACCGCGGAGACGAUUCACCAACUCAUCCCUUAGGAGUAGAGAUCCGUACGUACUGCUCACCACAACAGCUCUAGUUCCAGCGCACAAGAUUUUCAUCGGCAUCAAGCAGUUCAUCUACCGACACAGUGCGUUCGUUCAUCUACCUUAAAUGAAUCCAAUAAUGUAAAAAUAAAAUAAAAUUGAACUAAAACCACGACGAGUAAAUCAGAACGGAGGGAGUAGAAGAGAGAUGCACCACACACAAAUAAGAAGCAGCGAUCAACUGUUAGUUUGUGGUGGCCGACAUUUUUAUUUGAUGCUACAACGCCGGCCUGAACCAAAUAUUGCAAAAGGGGCGGAUCAAGAGAGGAGAACGUGAGAAUAUAUAAAACAGAGGCUACUACAGUGAGGUCGUCAGCACAGCAUGCACACAGGUGAGCUGUGACAUGAAGAGAAGAUCUAGGGUCUGCUUUCUGAGAAGCUUAGCAUUGCGCUUUUUCCUGAUGUUCUAGUUGUAGAGAAGAUUGAUGAGCACAGUGUAUCGAGUUGUGUCAGGAGUUGCAAGCCCCCACAGAUGACGAAAAUUUUGAGGUGAGUUGAUCAACCCAAAGGAGUGAAGUCUGAAAAAAAAAAACUGAGAGUGUAGCCGCGACGCAAACGAACCCUGACCUCUCAAUCCCGGAAGUCUGUACCCUAAACAGUAGGGAGUGAAGUAGUAGAUGAUCAGUGGUCUCAGAAUCAGAGCACAGUUCCCCUCCUGGACCGAUGGUUCGCUGGUGAAGAAUCGAUUCUUGCAAGCGAGCCACUGUAUUUUGCUACUAGAUACUUUCUCCGUCCGGAAAUACUUGUCAUCAAAAUGAAUAAAAGAGGAUGUAUCUAGACGUAUUUUAGUUCCAGAUACAUCUUUUUCUAUCCAUUUUGAUAACAAGUAUUUUUGGACGAAAAGAGUAUGUGCAGAAGCAUUUAAUAAUAAGUAUCUGCAAAGCAAGAGGUCCUCCCCACUUGUGCCAAGAAGUUUUGAGUUGGAACCACAUUGCACUUUGCAGGGAUAAGAACAGUACCAAUUUCAAGGGCUUUGACUCCUUGCCUGUUCCAUUUGUGCGCCUUGUUGCUUGUACAAGAUUUUUGCACUAUAAACCAUAGAGAUACAUGAUGCCGCUGCUGACUCUUGCUGAAUGCUUAAUAUAGUUGCGUCUUUGUUUUAACCCAGGGUACUUCCUCCGUUCCAAAAUACUUGUCGUGGAUUUAGGUCAAAUUUGUACUAAAACUACCCUCCGUUCCAAAAUACUUGUCGUGAUUUUAGGUCAAAUUUGUACUAAAACCAUAACAAGUAUUUUGGAACGGAAGAAGUAGUAGACGGGGCAUAACGACAGAUAGGAGAGGACAGGACAGUAGUUUCUACUGAUUCAGUACGCCGUAUAUAUGAUGAUAAGUUGAGAAGCUUGUGUAAUGCGUGAACCUAGCUACCAAUAUCUUGCGGGAGAAUACUUGGACACUGUUGCGGUUGCUCAGUCAAACACAAUCUUAUGACUUGGCUGUGUGUCUAUAUAUAUAUAUAUAUAUAUAUAUAUAUAUAUAUAUAUAUAUAUAUAUAUAUAUAUUAGCAAAAAGUCCGUGCGUUGUAACGGGAAAAAAACAUUUCAUAUCUCUAGCUGGGUCAGUUAGACAAAUUGUGCGUGGCCGGUUGGCAGGUUAUGAGAUCGAACCCUCCCAUCGAAAUCACUAAUUAAGGAGUACUCGUUGCAAAGAACACUCCACUUUCCCAGGUCGCGACAAGUGGCGCACAUGCAGCGUGCCACUUGUCGCAACCCGGAAGUUUUCCUUUUUUUCGUAGAUCCGUUUAUUCAAAACGUUUUAUCUCUUAAACCAUCCAAAUCUCGAACCGUUUUCACCAUUGGAUUCCUCGCGUCGAGAUCUUCAAAACCAGAUCCCAUGUUGAUAGGUUUUGACGAACUUUUUAUUCACGAAAAAAACCGCACGAAAAAACCGGGCGAAAAAACCGAACCGGGAGCACGGUUUUUUCCCUUUCCGAAAGAGGCACGCCCGUGCCUCUCGCGAAAUCACAACCGUGCCUCUCGUGGAAGCAAAACCGUGACUCUCGUGGAAGGAAAAAAACAGAAAACGCGUUUUUUUUUCGUUUCCGAGAGGCACGGCCGUGACUCUCGCGAAAGCACAACCGUGUCUCUCGCGAAAGCAAAAACCGCGACUCUCGCGAAAGAAAAAAAACAGAAAACGCGUUUUUUUCCCUUUCCUAGAGGCACGGCCGUGACUUUCGCGAAAGCACAACCGUGCCUCUCGCGGAAGCAAACCAUGACUCUCACGAAAGAAAAAAANNNNNNNNNNNNNNNNNNNNNNNNNNNNNNNNNNNNNNNNNNNNNNNNNNNNNNNNNNNNNNNNNNNNNNNNNNNNNNNNNNNNNNNNNNNNNNNNNNNNNNNNNNNNNNNNNNNNNNNNNNNNNNNNNNNNNNNNNNNNNNNNNNNNNNNNNNNNNNNNNNNNNNNNNNNNNNNNNNNNNNNNNUUUCCGAGAGGCUCUCGUGAAAGCACAACCAUGCCUCUCGCGGAAGCAAAACCGUGACUCUCGCGAAAGAAAAAAAAAACAGAAAACGCGUUUUUUUUCGUUUUCGAAAGGCACGGCCGUGACUCUCGCAAAAGCACAACCGUACCUCUCGCGGAAGAAAAACCGUGACUUUCGCGAAAGGAAAAAAAAGAAAACGCAUUUUUUCACGCAAAAAAAUUAUUUUUUGGAAUUUUUUUUAUCGAAAAGCUAAGAAAGACCGGGGGAAACCAAAACGUCAAAAAAAUCCGGAAAAAAACCGUUUAAAAAGCCGAAAACGCGUGCGGAAAAAUAAAAAAAAAACAAAAUUCGAAGGAAGCGUCCAGAGCGCGACACGUGGCGAAUGGCUAAGAGCGCGCCAAGUGGCGUUGAUCGUUGCGAGGCUCCCGAAGGAGCGCUCGUUAACUAGUUGCUCCCCCCUCCCAUCGGCUAUUUUAUUUUUUGCCAGCUCUCCGGACCUGGGCCACAGUGCGCCAUCAGGUGGGCUUCCUCCAUUGGGCCAAAGCUGAUGGCAAAUAACGAAACCAAAUAGCGUACGUGAAAUUAAUUGAAGCGGGACCAAACAAAGCGGAAUAGUAGGUAUAGAUACACAUCCACCAACCUGGACCGACAAAGACAACCUAAUCCUAGUCGUACGUGACCUCCUAUAUGGACUCCAAAACCUAUACGAACUAGUCAUGUACUCCCUCCGUCCC
This 6359-nucleotide long non-coding RNA is filed under the name Triticum aestivum (bread wheat). RNAcentral describes it as "long non-coding RNA (TAES_LNC019812)". The stretch from base 3930 to 4064 matches the Rfam family "MIR1120/MIR1122 microRNA precursor family". Lineage: Eukaryota; Viridiplantae; Streptophyta; Magnoliopsida; Poales; Poaceae. The record is from RNAcentral.